Melanotaenia boesemani (Boeseman's rainbowfish) is the source of this 520-nucleotide long non-coding RNA. RefSeq lists it as uncharacterized. The record is from RefSeq and is a predicted model, not a curated record. Lineage: Eukaryota; Metazoa; Chordata; Actinopteri; Atheriniformes; Melanotaeniidae. The transcript is spliced from 3 exons.
GUAGAAGAAACACAGGCAGUUCCUACUGAUCAGUGGUGUUUAAACGCCUCAUACAGACACCACAGAUGCCAUAAGAGACUUAACACAGUGCACGGUUGGAGCCGAAGCUGGGAGAUUCCCUCUAAACUCCUGCAGAGUAUCUGGCUUCAUACAGAAGGACACAUGGGAGAGGAUCUUAUCUAGAAAACGCCGUGUUGUCGAGCUUUUAAACAGUGCAAACAGACGACCCUUGGACCUGAACUCGUGUUCCUGUCAGCAAGCAGGUACUCAGCCACCAGAGCAGCAACAUGAACGUAACACAUGGCAGCCUGUAGGAGAGGAAAAGACGAGUCACAUCCCAAUAAAGCUUUCCUCAUUUCAUUUCUGUUUAAGCUUUAUUUAAGAUAAGAAACUAAUUCUUAUUUACAGCUUGGGGCAUUUUGAAGGAGAGGGUAAAAAAAGCUGUAAAAUAAAUUAUACAAAUUACAUUUAAAAGAAAAUAUAAAGAUCAGAAUAAUUAAAUGCCUGGAAAACUUCCGUA